Molecule: microRNA precursor, 72 nt
Filed under: Myotis brandtii (Brandt's bat)
Lineage: Eukaryota; Metazoa; Chordata; Mammalia; Chiroptera; Vespertilionidae
Description: mir-9193 microRNA precursor family
Rfam family: mir-9193 microRNA precursor family
Source: Rfam by way of RNAcentral
CUUGCGAGGGGGGGCCCUCAGCCCAGAUUGCGAGAGGGCACAGGCCAGGCCGAGGGACCCCACUGGUGCACU